CCCGAGGAUGGGACUGCGGCCUAUCAGGCUGUUGGCGGUGUAACGGACCACCAAACCUACAACGGGUACGGGCGAUGGGAGUCGGAGCCCGGAGAUGGGGACUGAGACAAGGCCCCAGGCCCUACGGGGCGCAGCAGGUACGAAAACUCCGCAAUGCGCGAAAGCGUGACGGGGGAACCCCAAGUGCCGUUGGUCUUUGAUCGACGGCUUUUAGGGAGUCUAAGAAGCUCCCGGAAUAAGGGCUGGGCAAGUCGGGUGCCAGCCGCCGCGGUAAUACCCGCAGCCCAAGUAGUGGUCGCGAUUAUUGGGCCUAAAGCGCUCGUAGCCGGGUCAUCAAGUCCCUUGUGAAAUCGGGCGGCCUAACCGUUCGGCUUGCAAGGGAUACUGUUGGUCUUGAGGCCGGGAGACGUCUGAGGUACUCCGGGGGUAGCGGUAAAAUGCUGUAAUCCUCGGGGGACCACCAGUGGCGAAGGCGUCAGACGAGAACGGACCUGACGGUGAGGGGCGAAGGCUAGGGGAGCGAACGGGAUUAAAUACCCCGGUAGUCCUAGCUGUAAAGCAU
RNAcentral lists this ribosomal RNA (562 nucleotides) under uncultured archaeon. RNAcentral describes it as "bacterial SSU rRNA". It matches the Rfam family "Archaeal small subunit ribosomal RNA", at positions 202 to 761 of the family's 1478-position model. The record is from RNAcentral.